This 66-nucleotide transfer RNA is filed under the name Amblyomma cajennense (Cayenne tick). RNAcentral describes it as "tRNA-Lys". The record is from RNAcentral. Lineage: Eukaryota; Metazoa; Arthropoda; Arachnida; Ixodida; Ixodidae. RNAcentral also lists the same sequence under 1 other name.
CAUUGAAUGGCUGAAGUUUAAGCAAUGGUCUCUUAAACCAAACUAUAGUGAAAUCACUUUCAAUGG